GGUGGCAUGGAGCACCUACACAAUGAAGUCUAGGGGCUUAUUUGGGAGAUCCUGGUGAUGUGGCAUCACGACUCGAUGAAGAUGGAUGCCUUCCAUAGAUGCGAGCAAUAUGUGACCUUAGUCAUCUUAGAGCAUACUCGAGGACCUUGGCUUCUGUCUGGAGUAUACGUGAGCACUGAGUAUAGGGAGCAGAGGGUGCUUUGGUUCGAGA
This 211-nucleotide long non-coding RNA is filed under the name Elaeis guineensis (African oil palm). RNAcentral's name for it is "long non-coding RNA (EGUI_LNC027251)". The record is from RNAcentral. Lineage: Eukaryota; Viridiplantae; Streptophyta; Magnoliopsida; Arecales; Arecaceae.